AGGGCAAGAGCAGUGAGGGAACACCUCAAAAACUGGAGGGAGAAGCAUCUGUGAAUAAUCAAGGCAGUGAGGAAGAAAAUGCAGUUGGAGAGAGGUGCUCUGUAACACGCAGAGGUUAGUCAGGGGACCAGAAAGCUCGGGUGACGCCUGAGGAAAGGCAGUGCUGAGUGUCCGUGAUCAGCAGAGGUGGACGGCAGGAAGGAAAAGGAUGAGCAGCAGAUGGGAUGACGUAUUCCUUGGCUCACGAUGUGGUGCUACAUAGGCAUUCGUUGCUUCACUGCACGAAUGUGCUACGGUCUACCUGGAUACUUCUAAGCUCCUCUUGAUGCGAAUACAGCUUUCAUCUUCUUUUAAGAAGGUAUAGCACUGACCUGGCAUGAUUUGCUCUACCCGUCAGAGGUUACCUUAGAAGAGUAACCCAACCAUCCAUUUUGAUCUUUACCUUCCAGUCAUGUUUUCUGCCCUGCCUGCUCCCCUCCAAGUGAUGCCUGUGUAAGAAAAUGAUAGAAGGAGCCUGAUUACCAGCAACAGUAUUUUCCGGAUUUCCACAGAUGCUAGACACCUGAAAGAUUCUUGAGUGACCCUGCUUUGGGCCUGCGGAGCCCCGGCAGUGUACAUCUCAGCCUGUGGCCAAAUGGCUGUGAAAGUUGAUUGGCUGCAGCACGGUUGGCAAGCCUGAUAACAUGAUGGAUAAGGCUCAUCGUGUUCAUUUCAAAACGAUGUUUUACCCUUGCCUGGGAAACUAGAUUCCCAGCCUGAUUUGUUGGGUUUGGGUUCAGCAACAGGGGUGGCAGGUAAAGAGGGAGCAGAGACAUGCAGACAUCAGGCUCCAGUAUCCCCACCACAACUGAGGGACGCUCAAAUGUAGUUUCAGUGCAUGUUAGCAGGACUGUACAGACCAGGGCUCCCUGAAGCUGGGUGCUCUGUACAUGGCGAUGGCCAAUCCUCCCACUCUGAGUGCAGAGUCGGCGAAGGAACUCAGAGCUUGUUAGGGGGACACACUGGGCUUCCUUGCCCUGAUCUCCCAUCAUGAAAAAGUAAAUACAUAUGUAAAAUUAAAACUUAAAAUUUUUUCUUGUCUGGUUAAGCCAUGCUUGCUCUGCACCAUUAUUAAAGAUCACUGUCAGGCUAAUCAAACAUUGUUCUCCUAACCCUUCCUGGAAGCAGUUGAGGAAACUGCAUUUUUUUGUUUUCCUGUUCUCAGGACCAAAUGGUCAAGGUAACGUUCAUUUCCUGCCUUCGUGGUUUUUGUUUUCACUGUAUUUUCAAUGUUCUGAAAUAAUUUUACAGAGAUCUUUGAAUCAUAGUAAUUCAGUAUUUUUUCCUUUGUUUUCUCCGCACCCUAUAUUCCAUUGCUCUCCCAGAAGCAGAUUGCUAGAGCUAGAUGCGGCCUCUGGGAGUCAUUUAGCACAAUCCUCUCCUUGUCUCCUGAGAAAGAAGGGCAAGACCUUGACCUUUACAGGCACCUACUAUUGCCAGGCACAGGACCUAUGUGACAUUUUGCAUAAUUACCUCACUUAAACCUACAACCGUCCUCCGGAGUGGGUGCUGUUGUCCUCACAUCUUGGACAAGAAAACUAAAGCACAGAGAGAUUACAUGACCUAAGUAAGAUCACACAGCUGAGGCUCUAAUCCAGCUUCUGGAAGACAAGUCUCUCCUGUCCACCAUCCUGAUCUGGCUCUGCCCUGUACCUGUCAACCAGAUCCAGCAUUAGCUGGAAGUAGGCGUAAAGGCAAGUAGGGCUCCAGGGCAGAUAGGACUCAGGGAGUUUAACUGCAGGUGAAAUUCUGGCAACUAUUACUAAUAUUUUAUAGCUUUAAUAGAGAAAUUGGUGGCAGACCAGAACAUGCCACUGGACUAGGAUGGAUUAGGAAAGCUUUUCAGCAGGUUAAAUAGAAAAAAUGGUUAACAUUUUUAUAAGAAAAAGGAGAACCCUUUCUAAACAGGAAGAAUUGGCUUGAUCAGAGCAGUUAUAUAAUUUCUAACUUCUGUCAAGACCCUUUCUUAACUAGAUAAGUGAUAGUUUCUUCAUGAUUUUUUUUUUUUUAACAUGUGGCAAUGUACAAAAUUUCUAUCGUGCUGAACUGAAAGCUACUCAGUAGUUUUCCUUAGGGAAUUUAGGCACGUAUUAUUUUUGCAAUACAGGCAUAUCUUGCAUUGCUCUUUGCUUUAUGAUGUUCCGCAGAUACAGUGGUUUUUGUUUUUGCUUUUGUUUUUAACCCGCUGAAGGUCUGUGGCAGCCCUGCAUCGAGCAAGCCUAUCAGUGCUGUUUGUCCAACAGCAUUUGCUCGCUUCAGGUCUCUGGGUCGCAAUUUGGUAAUUCCUGUACUAUUCCAAACUUUUUCAUUAUUAUUGUAUUUAUUAUGGCAAUCUGUGAUCAAUGAUCUUUGGUGUUACUAUUGGAACUGUUUUGAGGUGCCACGAACUGUUCCCAUGUAAACCAGCAAAUGUAACUGAUAAAUGGGUGGGUGCUGACUGUUCCACCAACCGGCCGUUCCCCUUCUCUCUCCCCCUCUCCUUGGGCCUCCCUGUUCCCUGAGACACAGUGUACUGAAAUAAGGCCAAUUAAUAACCCUACCAGAGCCUCCAAGUGCUCAAGCGAAAGGAAGAGGUACGCGUCUCUCACUUUAAAUCAAAAGCUAGAAAUGACUUAAACUCCGUGAGGAAGGCAUGUUGAAAGCUGAGAUCGGCCAAAAGUUGCCACACAGUUAGCCAAGUUGUGAAUGCAAAGGAAAAGUUCUUGAAGGAAAUUAAGAGUGCUACUCUGGUGAACACACCAAUGCUAAGAAAACAAAACAGUCCUACUGCUGAUAUGGAGAAAGUCUGAGUGGUUUGGAGAGAAGAUGAAACCAGCCACAGCAUUCCCUUAACACAAGGCCUAAUCCAGAGCCAGGCUCUAACUCUCUGCAAUUCUAACAAGGUUGAAGGCUACACUAAUGGCUUUUUCCUAAAACAGGAACACUGGUAGGAACUGAGAGAAGCAAUUCAUUCUAGCAGGAGUUGUUUCAUGGGAUUUAAGAGAAGCAGCCAUUUCAGUAACUUAAAAGUGCAAGGUAAUGCAGCAAGUGCUGAUAUAGAAGCUACAGCAACGUAUCCAGAUGAUGUAGCUAAGUCAUGAAGGGGCUAUACUAAAUGAGAUUUUCAAUGUAGACAAAGCAUCCUUCCACUGGAAGACGAUGCCAUCUAGGACUUCCAUUGCUAGACAAAAGUCAACUACCUGGCUUCAAAGCUUCAAAGGACAGGCUGACGCUCUUUAGGAGCUGAUACAGAUGGUGACUGAGCUGAAGCCAAUACUCACUUAUCAUUCUGUUUUUUUUAAAUAUAUUUUGAGAGAGGGAGAGAGAGCGAGAGCGAGCGCAUAAAUG
Molecule: long non-coding RNA, 3366 nt
Organism: Hyaena hyaena (striped hyena)
Lineage: Eukaryota; Metazoa; Chordata; Mammalia; Carnivora; Hyaenidae
Exons: 3
Source: RefSeq, a predicted model, not a curated record